GUCUCUUCCUUUGGUUUUCUAUAUCCAGGGUUGUCUCCCUUUUUGCUUUCUUUAUUGUUUCUCUUUCCAUUUUCAAUUCCUUCACUGGUUUUAUUGUGUUUUCCUGGAAUUCUUUCAGAGAUUUUUGUGAUUCCUCUCUAUAGGCUUCUACUAGUUUAUUUAUGUUUUCCUCCGUUUCUCUAAGGGAGUUCUUUAUGUCUUUCUUGAAGUCCACCAUCAUCAUGAUCAAAUGUGAUUUAAAAUCAAGAUCUUGCUUUUCAGCCCUAUCUGGGAAGAGAGCUGCUCCUGAGUUUGUGUGGCCUGAAGACUCCAGGCGGAUAGCUUGGAGCAGAAGACUUGGUUUUACCUCUGCUCUCAGGAGCAAGAAGAAUUGUUCAAUGAAAAGAUCAGUAUACAGAAUAAACAACAUCAGGAAGAAAUGAGGAAAAUCAAGAUGUAAAAGGACUCUAGUUGUUCCGUCAUGUGAAAGGUCUAAGGAGAGCUGACUCCUCCCCUGCUCUCUCCUUUCAGGGAAGAAUUUUACUAACAUGCUUCGAACCAUCUCACAUUCAAAACAAAAUAAAAUUCUAAAUAAUAAUGGUG
Long non-coding RNA from Rattus norvegicus (Norway rat), 582 nucleotides. Ensembl lists it as uncharacterized. The record is from Ensembl. Lineage: Eukaryota; Metazoa; Chordata; Mammalia; Rodentia; Muridae.